This 1031-nucleotide ribosomal RNA is filed under the name uncultured bacterium. RNAcentral's name for it is "bacterial SSU rRNA". It matches the Rfam family "Bacterial small subunit ribosomal RNA", at positions 356 to 1376 of the family's 1533-position model. The record is from RNAcentral.
GGGGAAUCUUCCGCAAUGGGCGAAAGCCUGACGGAGCAACGCCGCGUGAGUGAUGACGGCCUUCGGGUUGUAAAACUCUGUGAUCCGGGACGAAAAGGCAGAGUGCGAAGAACAAACUGCAUUGACGGUACCGGAAAAGCAAGCCACGGCUAACUACGUGCCAGCAGCCGCGGUAAUACGUAGGUGGCAAGCGUUGUCCGGAAUUAUUGGGCGUAAAGGGCUCGUAGGCGGUUCGUCGCGUCCGGUGUGAAAGUCCAUCGCUUAACGGUGGAUCCGCGCCGGGUACGGGCGGGCUUGAGUGCGGUAGGGGAGACUGGAAUUCCCGGUGUAACGGUGGAAUGUGUAGAUAUCGGGAAGAACACCAAUGGCGAAGGCAGGUCUCUGGGCCGUCACUGACGCUGAGGAGCGAAAGCGUGGGGAGCGAACAGGAUUAGAUACCCUGGUAGUCCACGCCGUAAACGGUGGAUGCUGGAUGUGGGGACCAUUCCACGGUCUCCGUGUCGGAGCCAACGCGUUAAGCAUCCCGCCUGGGGAGUACGGCCGCAAGGCUAAAACUCAAAGAAAUUGACGGGGGCCCGCACAAGCGGCGGAGCAUGCGGAUUAAUUCGAUGCAACGCGAAGAACCUUACCUGGGCUUGACAUGUUCCCGACAGCCGUAGAGAUACGGUCUCCCUUCGGGGCGGGUUCACAGGUGGUGCAUGGUCGUCGUCAGCUCGUGUCGUGAGAUGUUGGGUUAAGUCCCGCAACGAGCGCAACCCUCGCCCUGUGUUGCCAGCACGUCGUGGUGGGAACUCACGGGGGACCGCCGGGGUCAACUCGGAGGAAGGUGGGGAUGACGUCAGAUCAUCAUGCCCCUUACGUCCAGGGCUUCACGCAUGCUACAAUGGCCGGUACAACGGGAUGCGACACCGCGAGGUGGAGCGGAUCCCUUAAAACCGGUCUCAGUUCGGAUUGGAGUCUGCAACCCGACUCCAUGAAGGCGGAGUCGCUAGUAAUCGCGGAUCAGCAACGCCGCGGUGAAUGCGUUCCCG